This 68-nucleotide transfer RNA is filed under the name Metopograpsus quadridentatus. RNAcentral's name for it is "tRNA-Tyr". It matches the Rfam family "tRNA". Rfam says of the family: Transfer RNA (tRNA) molecules are approximately 80 nucleotides in length. Their secondary structure includes four short double-helical elements and three loops (D, anti-codon, and T loops). Lineage: Eukaryota; Metazoa; Arthropoda; Malacostraca; Decapoda; Grapsidae. The record is from RNAcentral.
AAUAAAGUGGCUGAGUGUUAGGCGGUAAAUUGUAAAUUUAUAAACGAAUGUAAAUAAUUCCUUUAUUA